UACGUAGGGUGCGAGCGUUAAUCGGAAUUACUGGGCGUAAAGCGCGCGUAGGCGGUUUGAAAAGUCAGAUGUGAAAGCCCCGGGCUCAACUUGGGAACUGCAUUUGAUACUGUCAGACUAGAGUACAGAAGAGGUGACUGGAAUUCCCAGUGUAGCGGUGAAAUGCGUAGAUAUUGGGAGGAACACCAGAUGCGAAGGCGGGUCACUGGGCUGAUACUGACGCUGAUGCGCGAAAGCCAGGGGAGCGAACGGG
This 253-nucleotide ribosomal RNA is filed under the name uncultured bacterium. RNAcentral's name for it is "partial 16S ribosomal RNA". It matches the Rfam family "Bacterial small subunit ribosomal RNA", at positions 524 to 776 of the family's 1533-position model. The record is from RNAcentral.